AACGAACGCUGGCGGCGUGCCUAAGACAUGCAAGUCGUACGAGAACGCCACCUUCGGGUGGUUAUUAGAGUGGCAAACGGGUGAGUAACGCGUGGGUAACCUACCUCGAGGUCUGGGAUAACUCCGGGAAACUGGGGCUAAUACCGGAUAAGACCACGAGUUCUUCGGAACAUGUGAGAAAAGAUGGCCUCUUCUUGAAAGCUAUCGCCAUGAGAUGAGCCCGCGUCCCAUUAGCUUGUUGGUGAGGUAACGGCUCACCAAGGCUCCGAUGGGUAGCUGGUCUGAGAGGACGAUCAGCCACACUGGAACUGAGACACGGUCCAG
Molecule: ribosomal RNA, 324 nt
Filed under: uncultured bacterium
Lineage: Bacteria
Description: bacterial SSU rRNA
Rfam family: Bacterial small subunit ribosomal RNA
Source: RNAcentral